RNAcentral lists this transfer RNA (73 nucleotides) under Diapteron cyanostictum (Gabon jewelfish). RNAcentral's name for it is "Aphyosemion cyanostictum (Gabon jewelfish) tRNA-Asn". Lineage: Eukaryota; Metazoa; Chordata; Actinopteri; Cyprinodontiformes; Nothobranchiidae. The record is from RNAcentral.
UAGGCGGAUGCUCUCUGGUUUAAGCGCUUAGCUGUUAACUAAGAAUUUGUAGGAUCGAGGCCUACUCGUCUAG